CGGACGGGUGAGUAACACGUGGAUAACCUACCUAUAAGACUGGGACAACUUCGGGAAACCGGAGCUAAUACCGGAUAAUAUUUUGAACCGCAUGGUUCAAAAGUGAAAGACGGUCUUGCUGUCACUUAUAGAUGGAUCCGCGCUGCAUUAGCUAGUUGGUAAGGUAACGGCUUACCAAGGCAACGAUGCAUAGCCGACCUGAGAGGGUGAUCGGCCACACUGGAACUGAGACACGGUCCAG
This 241-nucleotide ribosomal RNA is filed under the name uncultured Staphylococcus sp. RNAcentral describes it as "partial 16S ribosomal RNA". It matches the Rfam family "Bacterial small subunit ribosomal RNA", at positions 99 to 334 of the family's 1533-position model. The record is from RNAcentral. Lineage: Bacteria; Bacillati; Bacillota; Bacilli; Caryophanales; Staphylococcaceae.